RNAcentral lists this ribosomal RNA (253 nucleotides) under uncultured bacterium. RNAcentral describes it as "partial 16S ribosomal RNA". It matches the Rfam family "Bacterial small subunit ribosomal RNA", at positions 524 to 776 of the family's 1533-position model. The record is from RNAcentral.
UACGGAAUGUGCAAACGUUAUUCGGGAUCACUGGGCUUAAAGAGUCCGUAGGCGGCAUGUUAGGUGAGGUGUGAAAUCCCCCGGCUCAACCGAGGAAUUGCGCUUCAUACCGGCGUGCUAGAGGAAGAUAGAGGUGGGCGGAACUGAUGGUGGAGCGGUGAAAUGCGUUGAUAUCAUCAGGAACACCGGAGGCGAAGGCGGCCCACUGGGUCUUUUCUGACGCUGAGGGACGAAAGCUAGGGGAGCGAACGGG